GCCGAUUGUCGCCCACCUGGUAGGUACAUUCACUUUCGUUUAUUACGCAAUCUCCAUGAGUCCCACAUAUCCCAUGUUUUCAAGGACGUAUGGUUAGGUGGGAAUAGUGUUUUUAAUCCUUUCUCAUACGAGCAUUGUGUAUCCAGAUCUGUGAGUAUUCGUUGUACACGGGGGGGGCUGUUUGUUUCCAGCUUUGGGCGAUUGAUC
Molecule: non-coding RNA, 207 nt
Organism: Pelobates cultripes (western spadefoot toad)
Lineage: Eukaryota; Metazoa; Chordata; Amphibia; Anura; Pelobatidae
Source: the annotation of a GenBank genome assembly